Molecule: long non-coding RNA, 268 nt
Filed under: Ananas comosus (pineapple)
Lineage: Eukaryota; Viridiplantae; Streptophyta; Magnoliopsida; Poales; Bromeliaceae
Description: long non-coding RNA (ACOM_LNC011759)
Source: RNAcentral
UAUAGUGUAGAGCUACUAUACUAUCAGAAGCAUAAAGGAUCUCAUGCUUCCAACUUUUUCACCAUUAGAUUAAAAAUUAUACGGUUGGAAUGAUUGCGGUCCCUCUAGGGUUGAGUAGUCCCCACAGGUUAAUAGUAUUAAUCCAAAGGUCAAAAAUGAUUAAAAGGGUUGAUCUAAAGGCCAAAAAAUCGAAAGCUCGAGAUCCUCUAUGCUUUCGACAGCAUAGUAGCUCUACUAUAUAUAUAGUUUUAGGUGAUAGAUAAGGAUU